GACGUAGGAGGCGAGCGUUGUCCGGAUUCAUUGGGCGUAAAGAGCACGCAGGCGGUUUGGCAAGUCGGACGUGAAAAUCCGGGGCUCAACCCCGGACCUGCAUCCGAAACUGCCCGACUAGAGGUAGGUAGGGGAGAUCGGAAUUCCUGGUGUAGCGGUGAAAUGCGCAGAUAUCAGGAGGAACACCGGUGGCGAAGGCGGUUCUCUGGAACGCAACUGACGCUGAGACGCGAAAGCGUGGGGAGCAAACAGG
RNAcentral lists this ribosomal RNA (253 nucleotides) under uncultured bacterium. RNAcentral describes it as "partial 16S ribosomal RNA". It matches the Rfam family "Bacterial small subunit ribosomal RNA", at positions 524 to 776 of the family's 1533-position model. The record is from RNAcentral.